GCCCAGCCGUAAACUUUAACUUACAUUCAAAUCGCCAGGGAACUACGAGCUAAGCUUAAAACCCAAAGGACUUGACGGUACCCCAUAUCCCCCUAGAGGAGCCUGUUCUAUAAUCGAUAAUCCACGUUUAACCUCACCAUUUUUAGUUAAUCAGCCUGUAUACCUCCGUCGUCAGCUUACCACGUGAGCGCCAAUUAGUGAGCUUAAUGUCUUUCACCAACACGUCAGGUCAAGGUGCAGCAAAUGAAAUGGGAAGAGAUGGGCUACACUUUCUAUAUUAGAAAAAACGAAAAACUACUUAUGAAAACUAGUUGGAAGGCGGAUUUAGCAGUAAAAAGGAAUCAGAAUGUCCCUUUUAACCCGGCACUGGGGUGUGUACACACCGCCCGUCACCCUCUUCAAAGCUUAUAACCUAGUUCUUAACAAACUAAAGCAUAACAGAAUAGGCAAGUCGUAACAUGGUAAGUAUACCGGAAGGUGUGCUUGGAAA
RNAcentral lists this ribosomal RNA (490 nucleotides) under Rhinella ornata. Its description in RNAcentral is "partial small subunit ribosomal RNA". It matches the Rfam family "Bacterial small subunit ribosomal RNA", at positions 794 to 1522 of the family's 1533-position model. The record is from RNAcentral. Lineage: Eukaryota; Metazoa; Chordata; Amphibia; Anura; Bufonidae.